Molecule: transfer RNA, 73 nt
Filed under: Mediterraneibacter gnavus
Lineage: Bacteria; Bacillati; Bacillota; Clostridia; Lachnospirales; Lachnospiraceae
Description: [Ruminococcus] gnavus tRNA-Val
Rfam family: tRNA
About the family: Transfer RNA (tRNA) molecules are approximately 80 nucleotides in length. Their secondary structure includes four short double-helical elements and three loops (D, anti-codon, and T loops).
Source: RNAcentral
GGGGUCUUAGCUCAGCUGGGAGAGCAUCUGCCUUACAAGCAGAGGGUCACAGGUUCGAGCCCUGUAGGCCCGA